RNAcentral lists this ribosomal RNA (393 nucleotides) under Synergistetes bacterium oral taxon 361. Its description in RNAcentral is "bacterial SSU rRNA". It matches the Rfam family "Bacterial small subunit ribosomal RNA", at positions 28 to 422 of the family's 1533-position model. Lineage: Bacteria; Thermotogati; Synergistota. The record is from RNAcentral.
GAUGAACGCUGGCGGCGUGCGUAACACAUGCAAGUUGGACGACGGUGCUAUGAAGUGGUAACACGGAGUGGCAUACGGAGUAGCGGACGGGUGAGUAAAGCAUGAGAAGCUGUCCUACGGAGGGGGAUAACGUUCGGAAACGGACCCUAAUACCCCAUAGUCCGAGAGGUUAAAGGCAGAGAUGUGCCGUAGGAGGUGCUCGUGUCCUAUCGGCUAGUUGGUGAGGUAAGGGCUCACCAAGGCUUCGACGGGUAGCCGGCCUGAGAGGGUGACCGGCCACACUGGAACUGAGAUACGGUCCAGACUCCUACGGGAUGCAGCAGUGGGGAAUAUUGGGCAAUGGGAGGAAUCCUGACCCAGCGACGCCGCGUGAACGAAAGACGGCCCUUCGGG